UACGGGGGGGGCAAGCGUUGUUCGGAAUUACUGGGCGUAAAGGGCGCGUAGGCGGCCCGCUAAGUCGAACGUGAAAUCCCCGGGCUCAACCCGGGAACUGCGUCCGAUACUGGUGGGCUUGAAUCCGGGAGAGGGAUGCGGAAUUCCAGGUGUAGCGGUGAAAUGCGUAGAUAUCUGGAGGAACACCGGUGGCGAAGGCGGCAUCCUGGACCAACACUGACGCUGAGUGAGCGAAAGCCAGGGGAGCAAACGGG
This 254-nucleotide ribosomal RNA is filed under the name uncultured bacterium. Its description in RNAcentral is "partial 16S ribosomal RNA". It matches the Rfam family "Bacterial small subunit ribosomal RNA", at positions 524 to 776 of the family's 1533-position model. The record is from RNAcentral.